GGAGUUAGCCGGUGCUUCUUCUGUGAGUGAUGUCCUUCCUGCCGGUUAUUGACCCGCAGGCCUUCUUCCUCACUGAAAGUGCUUUACAACCCGAAGGCCUUCUUCACACACGCGGCAUGGCUGGAUCAGGGUUGCCCCCAUUGUCCAAUAUUCCCCACUGCUGCCUCCCGUAGGAGUCUGGGCCGUGUCUCAGUCCCAGUGUGGCUGAUCAUCCUCUCAGACCAGCUACGGAUCGUCGCCUUGGUGAGCCGUUACCUCACCAACCAGCUAAUCCGACAUAGGCUCAUCCGAUAGCGCGAGGCCCGAAGGUCCCCCGCUUUCCCCCGUAGGGCGUAUGCGGUAUUAGCCUGGGUUUCCCCAGGUUAUCCCCCACUACCGGGCAGGAUUCCUAUGCAUUACUCACCCGUCCGCCGCUCGCCACCAGGGAGCAAGCUCCCCGUGCUGCCGCUCGACUUGCAUGUGUUAGGCCUGCCGCCAGCGUUCAAUCUGAGCCAGGAUCAAACUCUGA
RNAcentral lists this ribosomal RNA (508 nucleotides) under uncultured bacterium. Its description in RNAcentral is "partial 16S ribosomal RNA". The record is from RNAcentral.